UACGGGGGGGGCAAGCGUUGUUCGGAUUUACUGGGCGUAAAGGGCGCGUAGGCGGUCGUGACAAGUCACUUGUGAAAUCUCCGGGCUUAACUCGGAACGGUCAAGUGAUACUGUCGGACUAGAGUACAGAAGGGGCAACUGGAAUUCUCGGUGUAGCGGUGAAAUGCGUAGAUAUCGAGAGGAACACCUGCGGCGAAGGCGGGUUGCUGGGCUGAUACUGACGCUGAGGCGCGAAAGCCAGGGGAGCGAACGGGG
RNAcentral lists this ribosomal RNA (255 nucleotides) under uncultured bacterium. RNAcentral describes it as "partial 16S ribosomal RNA". It matches the Rfam family "Bacterial small subunit ribosomal RNA", at positions 524 to 777 of the family's 1533-position model. The record is from RNAcentral.